GACGAACGCUGGCGGCGUGCUUAACACAUGCAAGUCGAACGGAAAGGCCCUGCUUUUGUGGGGUGCUCGAGUGGCGAACGGGUGAGUAACACGUGAGUAACCUGCCCUUGACUUUGUGAUAACUUCAGGAAACUGGGGCUAAUACCGGAUAGGAGCUCCUGCUGCAUGGUGGGGGUUGGAAAGUUUCGGCGGUUGGGGAUGGACUCGCGGCUUAUCAGCUUGUUGGUGGGGUAGUGGCUUACCAAGGGUUUGACGGGUAGCCGGCCUGAGAGGGUGACCGGCCACAUGGGGACUGAGAUACGGCCCAGACUCCUACGGGAGGCAGCAGUGGGGAAUAUUGCAGAAUAGGCGGAAGCCUGAUGCAGAAACGCCGCGUGCGGGAUGACGGCCUUCGGGUUGUAAACCGCUUUCGCCUGUGACGAAGCGUGAGUGACGGUAAUGGGUAAAGAAGCACCGGCUAACUACGUG
RNAcentral lists this ribosomal RNA (468 nucleotides) under uncultured bacterium. RNAcentral's name for it is "partial 16S ribosomal RNA". It matches the Rfam family "Bacterial small subunit ribosomal RNA", at positions 28 to 507 of the family's 1533-position model. The record is from RNAcentral.